UAUAAUAAUAACAUCUUUGUUGGCCCAGUCGAAGGCACCCUUGAGAUCAACGAAAGCUCUAAGGCUAGUAUUAACGCUUUGGCCACUAGGUAUACGAUAAAGGAAGAUUAGAACAUGGCUAAGGGAUGCUGGCGUUGGGUAGCCUGUACGUGACGGAGAAGCAGAGACGAGGGAAGGGAGGCGGAAGGUUGAAGGUAGCCCGGCAGGGUGGAUGGGACAAGGGGGAGUGUGUGGCGUGAGGAUAACAAGCAGUUAGCAGCGUCUUGUUCCAUGUCCCUGUGCGAAAGUAUGGCAAGAAAACAAAUCGAGUGCGGUAUAUAAUUAAUCUCCCACCAAUCUCAUCUUUUUCUUAGCGCUGAAAUGUGUCUCGGUGAGCACAAAGUUAGUGUGAUCUUAUAGUGAGGUGUGGAUGUGAGGGCGUGAGGUGGGAGUGUGUCAGCCAAAGGAAGGGCAGCGCAUUCGAAGACAGCCGAGGUGAUCCCACACCAGCUGAACAUAUCCUCGGCCUUUUGUCUUGUGGCGGCGGGCGAGUGAGGUUCCUUGUGUGUGUGCGCGUGGCGUCGCGGUUAGUGAAGUGAUGCUGUGCAUUAGUUUAUCCUAUUGAGUGCGUCUUCCUCGCGUUGGAUUUGGUGAGUACCCAUAUCACAGGUCACACCGUGGGACUGUCACCGCUGGAGCAACCCUUCGGAAUAAAGUAAAGUACGUUAAUUACGGUUUGCUAGGCGUUAGGUGUUAGGCACAAGGCGAUAGGCGGCGCGGCUAACCAUUCUCUUCCAGGUACAUGUUAAUUAUCUAGUCUUCCCCAGUAAUGCUUUGGUUAGCGCACCGUGGCGGCGAUCCAGGAGCCUCGUGCUGGUGGUGGUGGUGGUGGCGUGGCUGGCUGGCUGGCUGGCUGUGGCGGGCGUGCACGUGCUAUCAUAUGUGACUGUGCGGCGGCAGGGGUGAGGAAGGGAGACGUGAGGGGCGGCCAGGUGGUGGUGGACAGUGACCGGCGCCCGCCACAGUGACAAGCCUACACGAACAUAGUGACAAUAGCCAUGAUAACAACGAAAAGAACAGCGUGUGUGUAGCCUCGGUAAACACGGACACAAGAUGGGUUAGGAUGUCUGUGUGUGUGUGGCUGGGGGUGAGUGGGGUACCUACUGCUGGUGACGGCAGCAGCCAAGACCAGCCGCAGUCUUCACCAGCAGCAAACGUGAUUACCCGUAUCACAGGUCACACCGUGGGACUGUCACCGCUGGAGCAACCCUUCGGAAUAAAGUAAAGUACGUUAAUUACGGUUUGCUAGGCGUUAGGUGUUAGGCAUAGGGCGAUAGGCGGCGCGGCUAACCAUUCUCUUCCAGGUACAUGUUAAUUAUCUAGUCUUCCCCAGUAAUGCCUUGGUUAGCGCACCGUGGCGGCGAUCCAGGAGCAUCGUGCUGGUGGUGGUGGUGGUGGUGGCGUGGCUGGCUGGCUGUCUGUCUGUCUGUCUGUGGCGGGCGUGCACGUGCUAUCAUAUGGUAUGUGAAUGAUUGAGUUUCGUAGGGUUAGUGAAAUGAUGGCCCUUGACAUUGAUUCCUAAUGCUUGUGGCUUUAUUUAACUGUUUUCGGUGAGCAGUGACUGUGCGGCAGCAGGGGUGAGGAAGGGAGACGUGAGGGGCGGCCAGGUGGUGGUGGACAGUGACCGGCGCCACAGUGACAAGCCUACACGAACAUAGUGACAAUAGCCAUGAUAACAACGAAAAGAACAGCGUGUGUGUAGCCUCGGUAAACACGGACACAAGAUGGGUUAGGAUGUGUGUGUGUGUGGCUGGGGGUGAGUGGGUACCUACUGCUGGUGACGGCAGCAGCCAAGACCAGCCACAGUCUUCACCAGCAGCAAACGCUCAGGCGUGUAGAUGGGAGCAGGAGAAGAAAGAACAAAGGAAGAGGACGAAGAAGAAAG
Molecule: long non-coding RNA, 1924 nt
Filed under: Portunus trituberculatus (swimming crab)
Lineage: Eukaryota; Metazoa; Arthropoda; Malacostraca; Decapoda; Portunidae
Description: uncharacterized LOC123513430, transcript variant X2
Source: RNAcentral